UACGGAGGGUGCGAGCGUUGUCCGGAAUCACUGGGCGUAAAGGGCGCGUAGGCGGCGCGGGUAGUCAUCGGUGAAAGUUCAGGGCUCAACUCUGAAUCGGCCGGUGAUACUCCCGUGCUCGAGCACUGUAGAGGCAGGUGGAAUUCCGGGUGUAGCGGUGGAAUGCGUAGAGAUCGUAAGGAAGACCAGUGGCGAAGGCGAGUUUCUGGACAGUUACUGACGCUGAGGCACGAAGGCCAGGGGAGCAAACGGG
Molecule: ribosomal RNA, 253 nt
Filed under: uncultured bacterium
Lineage: Bacteria
Description: partial 16S ribosomal RNA
Rfam family: Bacterial small subunit ribosomal RNA
Source: RNAcentral